RNAcentral lists this ribosomal RNA (442 nucleotides) under uncultured bacterium. RNAcentral's name for it is "partial 16S ribosomal RNA". It matches the Rfam family "Bacterial small subunit ribosomal RNA", at positions 338 to 795 of the family's 1533-position model. The record is from RNAcentral.
CCUACGGGAGGCAGCAGUGGGGAAUAUUGGGCAAUGGGCGCAAGCCUGACCCAGCAACGCCGCGUGAAGGAAGAAGGCUUUCGGGUUGUAAACUUCUUUUCUGAGGGACGAAGAAAGUGACGGUACCUCAGGAAUAAGCCACGGCUAACUACGUGCCAGCAGACGCGGUAAUACGUAGGUGGCAAGCGUUAUGCGUAUUUAUUGUGUUAAAAGGGCGCGCAGGCGGAAGAGAAAGUCAGCGGAAAUAUUGAGGGGCCCAGCCUCUUCGAGCCGUGGAAACUGGUUUGCUUGAGUGAGCGUGCAGUAGGCGGAAUGCGUGGUGUAGCGGUGAAAUGCAUAGAUAUCACGCAGAACUCCGAUUGCGAAGGCAGCUUACCGGCGCUCAACUGACGCUGAUGCACGAAAGUGUGGGUAUCGAACAGGAUUAGAUACCCUUGUAGUC